Molecule: ribosomal RNA, 443 nt
Filed under: uncultured bacterium
Lineage: Bacteria
Description: partial 16S ribosomal RNA
Rfam family: Bacterial small subunit ribosomal RNA
Source: RNAcentral
CCUACGGGUGGCAGCAGUGGGGAAUAUUGGGCAAUGGAGGCAACUCUGACCCAGCAACGCCGCGUGCAUGAUGAAGGUCUUCGGCUUGUAAAGUUCUGUGAUGGGGGAUGAACACAAUGACGGUACCCCAAUAGCAAGCCACGGCUAACUACGUGCCAGCAGCCGCGGUAAUACGUAGGUGGCAAGCGUUAUCCGGACUGACUGGGCGUAACGGGUGCGUAGGUGGUUUAGUAAGUUGGCGGUGUAAUUCCGGGGCUCAACUUCGGCGCUACCGCCAAAACUAUUAGACUAGAGGGUAGGAGUGGUAAGUGUAAUUCCUAGGGGAGCGGUGGAAUGCGUAGAUAUGAGGAGGAACAUCAGGGGCGAAGGCGACUUACUGGACUGGAACUGACACUGAGGCACGAAAGCGUGGGGAGCAAACAGGAUUAGAUACCCCUGUAGUC